GGCAGGAAGGCUGCAUCCAACUGAAGUUAACUGGUCCUUUGUUGCUUCUCCAGUCUAAGCUCUGUGGAGGGACGUCAAGGCCAGAAUGGGAUCCAGAAGGGUGGAGGAUGGGGUUGCCUUAGUAGCAUGAAGGAUUGGUGGGAGGCAAGAAGAGCCGAAAGUUACUUUUUAAAUAAUUUGGCUCAUAUUUGAAUUUAUCUGAUUAGUAGAGCAAUGUCUGGCAUCCCUCCUGCUUGGAAGGCAGACUUCCCUUUUCCAGCCAAAUUCAGUAAGUUUCAGGAAUUGUCUGGAAUUUUUGUGGAAUCAUGAGAAAAUUUGAACACAAAUAUCUCCCGUGGACUAACUGAGCAAGAACUCAUUUAUCACCAAGGGGAUGGUGCCAAGCCAUUCAUGAGGGAUCUGCGCCUGUGAUCCGAACACCUUCCACUAGGCUCCACUUCCAACACUGGGAAUCACAUUUCAACAUGAGAGUUGGAGUUGACAAAUGUCCAAACCAUGUCUCCAUCCAACCAUCUAUACAGAUCUUGGAUUCAAGAAGCCUUAUGCCUCUUGGCUAAAAAGAGUUUGAAAAUCCUGACUCGGCCCAUUGGAGCUAAAAAAACUGGAUCUCACAAAAGUAAAGAGCAGACUGAUGGUAACCAGAGGCUGUGAAUGGAAGGGGAAAGGGAAGGGAUGCAAGGGAAAAAAAGAAGGACAGGACUAAGAGAAAGGCAGAGAUUCAUGGCUUUUUAAAAUGGUAUUUAUGGUUAUUCCCUCCUCCACCUCAUCCCUAACUUACCGGAAGACAAAAUGACAUGGGAAGAAGAGGAAAGUUGUUAGAAGGGGAGCUCUAGACAGCCAGGAAAGCUGGAGUCACAAGUGGACAAGGAGACCCAUGGAAGCGACUCAUGAUAGAAAUGGUUCUCCUUUGGUCAUCUGCAAACUUUACCCAACAAUGGUAUCUCCUGGUAUCGUAUGAAAUAAAACCAGAAGUCUGGUAUUUUGGUCCCAGCUGUUAAGACUUCUGCCUGGAUUAAGCCUUCUUUUCCAUCUCUCUGAGGGGCCACCCUGCUCAGAUUUCUCACACUUGGGCAACCUGCCUUGAUAUGUGAAUCUUACUUAGGAAAACAGACAAUUUUCUCUGGUCACUAUCUCAGCCCACAAGGGAGAUUUAGCAUUUUUAGUCGACCCUCUUC
RNAcentral lists this long non-coding RNA (1175 nucleotides) under Homo sapiens (human). Its description in RNAcentral is "HSALNT0393604". The record is from RNAcentral. Lineage: Eukaryota; Metazoa; Chordata; Mammalia; Primates; Hominidae.